Oncorhynchus tshawytscha (Chinook salmon) is the source of this 1216-nucleotide long non-coding RNA. The record is from Ensembl. Lineage: Eukaryota; Metazoa; Chordata; Actinopteri; Salmoniformes; Salmonidae.
CAACCCCGUCUAUUGGUUGCCGGAGUUGUCACAAGUGAACACAGGUGACCUGGGACGCGCCAAGCCCCGCUGACAACAUCACAGCCAGCGGAAAUAAAAAUAAUUAGCAGCUGGAGUGCCAGUGGAGUGUAUCAUCCAGUUUUCUGAAAUUAUUAAUGACACAUAAUGCCUUUUUUUUGUUGCGUAGUUUGUGUUUGAGGAUACGAGCGAUUCCACUGACCGCAUUGGAGCGCACUGGUGGAAGACCCACGUAGUUUCCAGAACCUGCACUCCCAACUUCGUAUCAUCUGACCUUCAGAGCGUUAGCUGAUCAUGCAUUGUGCGCCAUAGUUUGCACUUUGGAAAUCGAUUUCACGGUCAUUCAGCUCCAGCGUUCACGGACUGCUGGAUAAAAAGAUGCACAAUCGAGAGCAUCCUGUCGGGCUGUAUCACCGCCUGGUACGGCAACUGCUCCGCCCACAACCGUAAGGCUCUCCAGAGGGUAGUGAGGUCUACACAACGCAUCAACGGGGGCAAACUACUUGCCCUCCAGGACACCUACACCACCCGAUGUUACAGGAGGGCCAUAAAGAUCAUCAAGGACAACAACCACCCGAGCCACUGCCUGUUCACCCCGCUAUCAUCCAGAAGGCGAGGUCAGUACAGGUGCAUCAAAGCUGGGACCGAGAGACUGAAAAACAGCUUCUAUCUCAAGGCCAUCAGACUGUUAAACAGCCACCACUAACAUUGAGUGGCUGCUGCCAACACACUGACUCAACUCCAGCCACUUUAAUAAUGGGAAUUGAUGGGAAAUGAUGUAAAAUAUAUCACUAGCCACUUUAAACAAUGCUACCUAAUAUAAUGUUUACAUACCCUACAUUAUUCAUCUCAUACGUAUAUACUGUACUCUAUCAUCUACUGCAUCCUUAUGUAAUACAUGUAUCACUAGCCACUAUGCCACUUUGUUUACAUACUCAUCUCAUAUGUAUAUACUGCACUCAAUACCAUCUACUGUAUCUUGCCUAUGCCGCUCUGUACCAUCACUCAAUCAUAUAUCCUUAUGUACAUAUUCUUUAUCCCCUUACACUUGUGUCUAUAAGGUAGUAGUUUUGGAAUUGUUAGCUAGAUUACUUGUUGGUUAUUACUGCAUUGUCGGAACUAGAAGCACAAGCAUUUCGCUACACUCGCAUUAACAUCUGCUAACCAUGUGUAUGUGACAAAUAAAAUUUGAUAUGAG